Molecule: non-coding RNA, 4837 nt
Organism: Aegilops tauschii subsp. strangulata
Lineage: Eukaryota; Viridiplantae; Streptophyta; Magnoliopsida; Poales; Poaceae
Source: RefSeq, a predicted model, not a curated record
AAAUACCUGACACACAUAUGUCAUUUCCGAAACGUCCGGUCUGAUAAAAACAAAUAUAUCUCCUUGGCAGCUGCUCUGUUUGUAGCCACUCUCUCGUUCUUCUUCCCCCCGCUGUUCUGUUCGUCGCCAUUGGAGGGGAACGACUAGUAUAGAAUCUGGCCAUAAGGUGCAAAAAUAGAAACAUGAUCCUCUACCAUUGGAUUUGGGAUGAAUGGCACGGAUCUAGGUGGAGGAAUAUGUACUCACAGUUACAAAAUCCUGUGCAAAAACAUCCCUAUGCUCCUCAUGUUUUUGCUUCGGAUCCUGCUCCUCCGAUCCUCAAUCCUCUAUCGGCCAUCUCCAAUCGACGAGCGAUGCUGGCGGCGGUCCAGUCCAGAUCCGAUGCACCGCCAGCAUCCCACCGCAGAUUCGCCCUGCCACCGCCUCCCCCCUCCGGCUUCUAGGUCCCCUGGGUCCGCCUCCCCCGCAGCCCCGCUGUUGCGCGGCACAUCAUCGACGGCGACUCGUACGCCGUCGCAAGUCCUCCGCAUCAGAUUCCGACGGGUUUGCAUCAGAUCUGAAGACCCGCGGCACAGAGUUGUUGCAGAAUAAGCAGCCCGACGUCCACACACCUCCUAUCCCCUCGCACGCUCAGUGUCAAGGUAUGGUUCGUUGCUCCCACUCCUCUUCCCCCAUCUCUUCCAUAAAUUUCAAUCUUAUGGAAAAGUCUAGCUUGUGUUCCAAUCCGGGCACAUGCCCAGCCAACGGAGCCACCGGUUUAUCACAUGGUCUAUGUUGCAUGUAGCCAUUUGACUCCACGAGUAGUUUAGUACAAUCACUCCAUUACACACUUACGUUUAAUGUAUUGAACCAUAUAUUCUCUUGAAUUAAAAGCCUGGAUACUGUAGAGACAGUGCACGUCUUUGAUUGAUUUGGUGACACACUUAUGCUAUUUGGUAUAUGUUUCUAACUGACACCUGUUUACUUGGUGUGCUUAGCUAGGUAGAUUGAACUGACCAAGUGUAUAAGAGUCCACUCAGGUUGUCAUCUCUCCCAUCAGGAAGCUCAAUUACCAGGAAGCAGUAACACGAGGCAAAAUGAUAGAUCUUUUUGGUCUUGUAUCAUCAUGUUUGUUGGGCGGUGAUACUUUCAGUCCUUACCACUCGGUCUUGCCGGCCAUGUACUAAAAAUGAUUUGUAUGCCUCUUGUGCUGUGUUCACAUGUACUCAAAUACUCAAAUGCUUGCUGAGCAAUGAUAAUUCCAGUCCAUAAUUCGCUCUCCUUCCAGUUUGACAUGUACGUGUGGUUCUACAUGCCUCUUGUGCUGUGUUCUCAUGUACUCAAAUACUGAAAUGCUUGCUGAGCAGCGAUAAUUUCAGUCCUUAAUUUGUUAUACUUCCAGUUUGACAUGUACGUGUGGUUCUACUAGAUCUGGGGUGGCUUAUUAUCUAUGUGCUGAAAUAUUUGUGAUAUAUAUUGAUGUCUUUUAGUGACCAAGAUGUUCAACUCUCUUGAAAAAAUAGUGGUGUCACUUUAAGGUGUAUGGAUGUCAUGCAAUAAAUAUUUUCAAAGAUUUUAUAUCAGAUCAGUUGUUUCAGACUAAGAGGAGAUGAGCAUUAGCACUGUAUAUCUGAAAAUGGUUGUAUUUCACGAACUCUUGAGGUGUAUAAUGCAUAUGUCCUAUUUUAUAUCCUCAGUAUCAGUAGGGGGUGUUCUGCAAAAUAUACAUUAAGUGGGCUGAGAUCCCUCCACCUAAAUCUGUACCAUUCAUCUUCAAUCCAUUGGUCCAGGAUGUGUUUUUCUAUUUUUGCACAGCAAGCUCAGAUUCUAUUGUAGUCCCUCCCCCAUUGGAGCGCCUCUUCAGGUUAGAUCUCUGCUUUAUCUUCUGAUUUUUUCACAUUGGCAGCUCAAAUAUAUGUUUGGAUAGUUGCAAGAUCUUUUCGAUUUUUUUAUCACUUUCUUGCUGGCCAUUGUUUCGUUAUUCUAGGGUUCAGUUGUUUUUGUAUAUUAUUAGUUUGUUGGCGGUUGUUUUUUGGGAUGUUUAGGUUGAACCAAGUGCAGAUGAACAGAAAGUAUUGGCGCUUCUUUUUUUUCAUCGAUCUAUAUUCUUCCAUCUAAAGUAUCUAAUUUCUAGACUCCUUAAGAAGAAUCUACCUUAAAACUUGUUUAAUGGAUCUAUGUGUGAUUUAACAAAUUAACUUUUAUCUUUUUGAAUAGUUAAUUUUAACGAAAAUUGCAUAUGAUGAAAUUUAGGAGAUAAUUAGUUGAAUAAAUUUGCUUUUAUGGUUCAUAAAAAUUACAUAUAUUCAUAUUCAGUUUCAUUUUAAUUGGAAAAAAGUCACAAGUGUUAUAAUAUUGUAUUACCAUACGGAAUCUUCUUAUGUGAACUGUAUUGGAAUCUUUGAUUAUCCCCGCAAAAAAAGGAAUCUUUGAUUAUGGCUUUAAGUGUAGUCUGGUUGCCAGUACAUUUUUAUGAAAUUACAAUACAUUUUGUUAAUUGAUGAAUCUAAUAUUAAGAGGGGAACCUUUAUGGAUCUACUGAACUUUCUUGAAAGGCCUCAAAUAUACAUUGAAACAAGGAAAAGUAGAAAUAUUUUGUGUGUGUUCUAUCAAUUACUAUUUGUGUAAUUGACAUGUAUAUGAUCAUUAUAAUUUUCUUGUCAUGUAAAUAUGAAAUCGUCUAUCAAUGAUACUACAAGCCUUCAACAAGGAUGCAAUUUAUCAGAUGAUGAUGAUGCUCUAUCUCUACCAAACUUCAGAGUUCAUUCUAGGCAAUAUUGUGACGGUCAACAAAGGUGCAUUCAACUGUAAUAGAAGAACAUUCCUGGGGUGAAAUCAAUAAACCCGACCAAGCAAAGCUAGAUGAAAAGGAAGAAAAUUGUGCAACAAAUGUUUGUAGUAUCUGUUAGAAAAGUAUUAUGAAACAUGGUUUAAUUAAUUUUUAUCAAUUAUAUUAUAAUCAUAUUGCAUAUUUUGUCUUAGGGAAACCAAACUUGAUGCUCUAAAAAUUGGAAUGGGGGAUUAUUGCGCUGACAAGUCAGUACCAAUAUUUAAACAUCAAUUUGGCAUAAUUUGGAUCAGUUGCUGAAUCAUCCGACUUCUAAAAUUCUUACUCUUGGGUGCUUGGAUUUAGCAUAAGAUUUGGAGACGUAUAUGACAUUGUCAAAGGUGUACGCAUGAUGCAAGAAUUUAAUUGUCAACUAGCAGUAAGUAGUAGUAAUAUUUUAAUACAUAAUAAUCUUCUUAAUCUUGGGUAGUUUAUUAUUUUUAAAAUGACGUUUUAUAUGAUUUUAGAGAAAAAAAGAAUACAAAGUUUUCUACAACAAGAUGUGGGUGCCAAGCUAGAUUGAGAAUACACAUAAAUGACAAAGCAGAAUGGUACAUCACUGCACUGACGAAAGAACACAAUCAUCCAUUGGUGGAAAGUUGUGCUAAGAAGAAGCAUUUGCAUUCACAUCAGCAUAUUGACAAGCCAACUAACGAGCUAAUAAGACACUUGAUAGAUAAUAAUGUUCCAGUUGCCCGUGUUAAUUCAAUAAUUAGUGGGUUGUAUGGAUCAACGGACAGUGUUCCUUUUAGUAAACGGAAGCUUCGAACAGUAUCUUCAAAUAUUGCAACUGAAAAUAUGUUGAGUGAAAAAGAGGAGAAUCUUUAUCUGUUGCAACAGUAUAUUCAAAUAUUGCAACUGAAAAUCUGCCAAACUUAUGGAGAAAUUCAGAGGUAUGCUAGCAAAGGAUGAUAGAUUUGCGUUCACUGACUAGGUUGAUGAUGGUAAUACACUGAAGUCCCUGAUGUGGACUUGUUGUAGAAACAAGGAUUUAUAUCAAUAUUUUGGUGAUGCAACUACAUUUGACACGACGUAUGACACAAAUGUAUACAUGAUGCCUUUUGGAAUGUUUAUCAGUGUCAACAACCACUUUGAUAGUGUUAUAUUUGCUAGUGUUCCGUUGAGUGAAAAAGAGGAGAAUUUUCAAUAGGCAUUCUCAAAGUUUGUAGCAAUGAUGGGAGGAAAGCCACCUGUUAUAAUUCUAACUGGUAAGAAAAACAAUGUUAAUUUAUUUCUAUUGGUAUGCAAUAAUAUAAUCAUUCUAAUGAUAUAGAAAAUUAUUAGCUGCUCAAGCAAGAGCAAUGGCUAAUGCAAUAACUUAAGUGUAAAUGGUAACAAAAUAUCGUUAGUGCAAAUGGCACGUUCGUCACUCGGCUCAAGAACUUAUGGCACAUGUUUACAAAAAAUAUCUAUCGUUUGCUGAUGAUUUUCAUAAAGUGGUGAACCAUAUGCUAACAAUUGAAGAGUUUGAUACUGGAUGGAGACUGAUCACUGAGAAAUAAGAAUUGAAAAUGCACCUUUCAUGAUAAGAGCUUAUGAAUGUAGGAAAAUGUGGGCAAAGCCAUAUUUUUAUGGAGUAUUUUGUGCAAAUAUGUGUAGCACACAACGUAGUGAAAGUGCAAAUAUGGUUCUGCAAAAUUUAUUAUCACGUAAUUCUUCACUGAAUAGUUUUAUAACUCAAUGUACUAAACUUACUGAUGACAAAGACAAAUGCAGAUAAUGAACGGAAAAGCAAACAGGUAUAUCUUACAUAAUCAUACUUUGUCUUAUUGCAUUAGCGGUUUAGCAAACUUUUCAUUACAUAAAAAACUAAAUCUAUUUUUCAUUUAUUUUUUCAGAAAAGUCUAAAACUACAAUGGGGUUUUCCGGUUGAGAAACAUGCUUCAGUCAUAUAUACAAGCAAGAUGUAUAAAUUAUUCAGCAAUGAACUGCUGAAAUUAGCUUCUUAUGUUCUUGUCCCAAGGAGUGACACAAAUAUAUUUGUGGUGAAGCAUGUUCAGGCAAAACUAAUAUAUGCUUGGUGCAAAGUAA